RNAcentral lists this ribosomal RNA (429 nucleotides) under Bacillota bacterium. RNAcentral's name for it is "Firmicutes bacterium partial 16S ribosomal RNA". It matches the Rfam family "Bacterial small subunit ribosomal RNA", at positions 355 to 776 of the family's 1533-position model. Lineage: Bacteria; Bacillati; Bacillota. The record is from RNAcentral.
UAGGGAAUCUUCCACAAUGGACGCGAGUCUGAUGGAGCAACGCCGCGUGAGUGAAGAAGGUUUUCGGAUCGCAAAGCUCUGUUGUUGGUGAAGAAGGAUAGAGGUAGUAACUGGCCUUUAUUUGACGGUAAUCAACCAGAAAGUCACGGCUAACUACGUGCCAGCAGCCGCGGUAAUACGUAGGUGGCAAGCGUUGUCCGGAUUUAUUGGGCGUAAAGCGAGCGCAGGCGGAAGAAUAAGUCUGAUGUGAAAGCCCUCGGCUUAACCGAGGAACUGCAUCGGAAACUGUUUUUCUUGAGUGCAGAAGAGGGGAGUGGAAUUCCAUGUGUAGCGGUGGAAUGCGUAGAUAUAUGGAAGAACGCCAGUGGCGAAGGCGACUCUCUGGACUGCAACUGACGCUGAGGCUCGAAAGCAUGGGUAGCGAACAGG